AACAAAAGAUUUGUCGGCAACAUCUCCGUAAUCCUCUUUCUCAUCAUCGUCGGUCCCACAGCAGUCGUGGUGGCCCUGUCUUUCUGGUCAUCCAGCAAAGAGGAAGCCACGGAGCUGACCGAGCUUUCUUCCCCAAGUUACCUCAAAAUCUCCCUUCCUGCACCUGCGCCGCGGCCAUCCCGACCACCUGCGACAAGAACGACCCUAACACCUACUACGAAGAAGCCCAAGACCCACGACGACAUGCUUCUUUGCGUCGUGGGACGCCGCGCUGUCUCGCAGAGCAUGUUUCCUCCGGAUGGCGUGUGCAGCCACACGUU
Molecule: long non-coding RNA, 320 nt
Organism: Ixodes scapularis (black-legged tick)
Lineage: Eukaryota; Metazoa; Arthropoda; Arachnida; Ixodida; Ixodidae
Exons: 3
Source: RefSeq, a predicted model, not a curated record